Molecule: ribosomal RNA, 373 nt
Filed under: uncultured Methylophilus sp.
Lineage: Bacteria; Pseudomonadati; Pseudomonadota; Betaproteobacteria; Nitrosomonadales; Methylophilaceae
Description: bacterial SSU rRNA
Rfam family: Bacterial small subunit ribosomal RNA
Source: RNAcentral
AGAUCAUCAUUGGGCUUAAAGUGUGCGCAGGCGGUUUGGCAAGUCAGAUGUGAAAUCCCCGAGCUCAACUUGGGAACUGCGUUUGAAACUGCCAGACUAGAAUAUGUCAGAGGGGGGUAGAAUUCCACGUGUAGCAGUGAAAUGCGUAGAGAUGUGGAGGAAUACCAAUGGCGAAGGCAGCCCCCUGGGAUAAUAUUGACGCUCAUGCACGAAAGCGUGGGGAGCAAACAGGAUUAGAUACCCUGGUAGUCCACGCCCUAAACGAUGUCUACUAGUUGUUGGUGGAGUAAAAUCCAUGAGUAACGCAGCUAACGCGUGAAGUAGACCGCCUGGGGAGUACGGCCGCAAGGUUGAAACUUAAAAAAUUAGACGG